UCUGUACUGUAUUAUAACUGCAUCGUUAAGAGAAGAACAACUAAGAUUCUUCCAUCACCUGGAGGCCCACUGUUCCACAUCAAUUCAACCACAAUCAAACACACUACUGGUACUCAAUUAAUCUUGUUUUGUUGGGGGUGCUGUUGGACUGGGCAGUCUGUUGGACAGUGGGCCUCCAGGCUAAGACAAUCAUAAUCUUAAAUAUGUCUAAAAGGAAGAAAGAUCCAGCUGAUAAUCCACAGCCUUCCUUGGAUUACAUUUGUUAUUCACAAGAGGUGCACCCCUUCAAGACCGCUGAAGUAGUUCUACAAAAUGGAUCUCUUUCACAACAGCUGUCGGAUGAAAAUAUGAAUGGGCAAUGGAUUCAUAAACUUGUGGGAGAAAAACUUUACUACAGAGUCAUACAUAAUGGAAUAGAGGCAAUUAAUGAUAUAUUAUAUUAUUCUAACAUUAACAUACAGCAAAAUAAUUAUUAUCUUCCUGGCAAAGAAAAUAAGAUACUUUUAGAACUUUUAACAAUUGCAGAAACAAAUUUAAGAAAGUGUAUAACUUUAAAACAAUGUGGGUAUAUGUGGUUAAAACGUAAAGAUGGAAUGUAUGAGCAAUAUGGACCAUUUUUUAAAAAAUCAAGUCAGAUGACUGUUCAUCUAAGUUAAUAGAAGUGUAUAAUACAUUGGUUCCAGAACUAGAAAAUAAAGCAUUUAAAAUGGAAAAAUAUUUAUAUAAGAAAUCUGAUAGCUAAAACAUUUUCAAAUCUAUUAAAACCUAUUCCAGAAAGAUUUAGACAAAACAUUUUUAAAGAGCAAAAAGAAUUGUUCCAACAUCCAGAUUUACUGUGUGCGUUUAAUGAAUUGAAUUACCUUGGUCGGAAAAAGAUUACAAAUACUAAGGAAAAUCUGAUAACUUUGUUUGGUAAUGAUUUAAGUGAUCAAGUUUGGAAUGAUUAUUUUAUGGCUCUUAAAGAUACAUUUUUAGAAUGGUGGGAUAAAAAGGUGAAUGAAGCAUCCAGCAUAUUUAUAAACAAAAUUGUAAGUGACUAUUUAAAAAUGUGUACUUUUCAGCUCUUCCUUGAUGACAUUCCAGACACUGUAAACAAAAACUUUAUUGGCCUUCUGUACCACACUAAUGAUUCUACUCCCCCAGUAAUUAAAUCUGAAAAUGUUAUUUUGAUGGAUUGAUUGGUGUAUUUGUAUGUUACAACAUUUAUAAUGAUUUGAAUAAACAAUCCCAG
Long non-coding RNA from Paramisgurnus dabryanus, 1231 nucleotides. RefSeq lists it as uncharacterized. NCBI's taxonomy places the organism in Eukaryota, Metazoa, Chordata, Actinopteri, Cypriniformes, Cobitidae. The record is from RefSeq and is a predicted model, not a curated record.